This 497-nucleotide ribosomal RNA is filed under the name uncultured bacterium. RNAcentral's name for it is "partial 16S ribosomal RNA". It matches the Rfam family "Bacterial small subunit ribosomal RNA", at positions 28 to 507 of the family's 1533-position model. The record is from RNAcentral.
GAUGAACGCUGGCGGCGUGCCUAAUACAUGCAAGUCGAGCGAACAGACGAGGAGCUUGCUCCUCUGACGUUAGCGGCGGACGGGUGGGUAACACGUGGAUAACCUACCUAUAAGACUGGGAUAACUUCGGGAAACCGGAGCUAAUACCGGAUAACAUGUUGAACCGCAUGGUUCAACAGUGAAAGACGGUUUUGCUGUCACUUAUAGAUGGAUCCGCGCCGCAUUAGCUAGUUGGUAAGGUAACGGCUUACCAAGGCAACGAUGCGUAGCCGACCUGAGAGGGUGAUCGGCCACACUGGAACUGAGACACGGUCCAGACUCCUACGGGAGGCAGCAGUAGGGAAUCUUCCGCAAAGGGCGAAAGCCUGACGGAGCAACGCCGCGUGAGUGAAGAAGGUCUUCGGAUCGUAAAACUCUGUUAUUAGGGAAGAACAAAUGUGUAAGUAACUAUGCACGUCUUGACGGUACCUAAUCAGAAAGCCACGGCUAACUACGUG